This 543-nucleotide ribosomal RNA is filed under the name Gaeumannomyces tritici. Its description in RNAcentral is "eukaryotic LSU rRNA". The stretch from base 178 to 331 matches the Rfam family "5.8S ribosomal RNA". Lineage: Eukaryota; Fungi; Ascomycota; Sordariomycetes; Magnaporthales; Magnaporthaceae. The record is from RNAcentral.
UCUCCGUUGGUGAACCAGCGGAGGGAUCAUUACAGAGUUGAAAAACUCCAACCCCUGUGAACAUACCUUUACUGUUGCUUCGGCGGACGAUGGUCCCCCCCCCGGGGGGCCGGACGCCGCCGGAGGUUACAAACCCUGAAUUUUAGUGUAUCUCUGAGUACAAAACCAAAUAAUUAAAACUUUCAACAACGGAUCUCUUGGUUCUGGCAUCGAUGAAGAACGCAGCGAAAUGCGAUAAGUAAUGUGAAUUGCAGAAUUCAGUGAAUCAUCGAAUCUUUGAACGCACAUUGCGCCCGCCGGUAUUCCGGCGGGCAUGCCUGUCCGAGCGUCAUUUCACCACUCAAGCCCAGCUUGGUGUUGGGGCACCCGGCCGCCCGGCGGUCGGGGCCCCCAAGAACAUCGGCGGUCUCGCUAGGACCCUGAACGCAGUAACUCGCGGUAAAACGCGCUUCGUUCGGUGGCUUCCCGGCGGGCUCCAGCCGCUAAACCCCCUAAACUUUUUAGGUUGACCUCGGAUCAGGUAGGAAUACCCGCUGAACUUAA